GAUCAUUACUGAGGUUAUUCGGCGUUUACGCCGGUCACCCGUCCUUUUGUCAUUAGAUUACUCUGGCCCCCCUCGAGAGAGGGUGGGUGAGAGGUGGUCAUUUCCGCCGAAGCGUUGCGUCCUUAGGGGCGCGACCGCGGCGGGCCAUUUUUACAAACUCUGUAUGCAAGCUGAAGUCUGAAUUACAAGAAAUUGAAAAAUGCAAAACUUUCAACAACGGAUCUCUUGGCUCUGGCAACGAUGAAGAACGCAGCGAAACGCGAAAGGUAAUGCGAAUUGCAGAAUCAGUGAGUCAUCGAAUCUUUGAACGCACAUUGCGCCUCUCGGUAUUCCGGGAGGCACGCCUGUUCGAGCGCCAUUACACACUCCAAGCACCGCUUGAUGUUGGGCGAAGCGGUCCCCUAUUUCUGGGGGCUGCCCGCCUGGAACGCGUGGGCGCCAGCCGCCGGACCACGAGCGUAGCAAGACGACAAGUCAAUUCGCUGUGUGGGUUCCGACGGAGGGCCGCCUAGCCUCACUCCCCACGGGGAGGGUGGCACCCCAAUUUACACGAGUUUGGCCUCGGAUCAGGCGGGGAUACCCGCUGAACUUAAGCAUAUCAAUAAGCGGAGGAAAAGAAACCAACAGGGAUUGCCCCAGUAACGGCGAGUGAAGCGGCAACAGCUCAAAUUUGAAAUCUGGCGCCUUAGGUGUCCGAGUUGUAAUUUGUAGAGGGAGUCUCGGGUUGAGGGUCGGUCCAAGUCCCUUGGAACAGGAUACCGCAGAGGGUGAGAGUCCCGUAUCCGGCCGACGCCGACGCCCGUGUGAGGCCCCUUCGACGAGUCGAGUUGUUUGGGAAUGCAGCUCUAAAUGGGUGGUAAAUUCCAUCUAAAGCUAAAUACUGGCCAGAGACCGAUAGCGAACAAGUAGAGUGAUCGAAAGAUGAAAAGCACUUUGAAAAGAGAGUCAAACAGUACGUGAAAUUGUUGAAAGGGAAGCGUAUACGGCCAGACUUGGCCGCGGGGGCUCAACUCGUCUUCUGGCGGGUGUACUCCCUCGCGGACAGGCCAGCAUCGGUUCUCGCGGCCGGACAAAGACGUUGGGAAUGUGGCCAUCUUCGGGUGGUGUUAUAGCCCGGCGUGUAAUGCGGCCUGCGGGGACCGAGGACCGCGC
Molecule: ribosomal RNA, 1152 nt
Filed under: uncultured fungus
Lineage: Eukaryota; Fungi
Description: eukaryotic LSU rRNA
Rfam family: Eukaryotic large subunit ribosomal RNA (bases 557-1152)
Source: RNAcentral